UUGGCCCGUAGAUCUGCAGAUCUUUUGAACUGCUGUUUAGAAACUUUGUUGUGACGCUAUAAUUUUAUAAAAUAGAAGAAAAAGCUUCUUUGUGUGCCAACUUGUGGCUUGUGUGUGCUGUCGCGUCGGGCCAUGCCGAUGCGGUAUUUUAAAUAGUUUCUCGCAACGCUAAGUUACCAAAUUGGGAGUCAAACAGGCAGCACUAUGAGAACAGCGAGAAGAGGAAGUAGAAGUAAGAUAGGAAGUCGUAGAUAUCAGGACUACACAGAAGAUACUUUACAGAAGUGUUUGGAAGAUAUUAGGGAAGGUAGACUUUCUCAGAGGGCAGCCGAGAAGUUUUGGAACAUCUCCCGCAGCACAAUUAAAAACAAACUGAAAUGUCUGCACUCUAAAAACCCAGGUAGGCAGCCAAUACUAACCAGACUAAGGCCGCGUCCCAAGUGGCCUUACAGCUUAGGAGGCUCCUGUUAGGAAGAAUCGGUCGUCUCUAGACACUUGGCCAAAACCCAUCCCUGGGCUCCGGACACAAAUCAACAUCAAAUCAACCAGGAAGAAAGCCAGAUGCACAUAACAGACAUGUAUAACGUGCAGUGUGUGUUCUACCUGUAGUCUGCCGUAAACAAGUGCGGGUACUGUGGCUAGAGUGGGAGAUGAAGUAUUUCUGGUAUGCCACACCACCAAGUGAUAUGUGGCUAUCAAAAUAAAGUGAAUUAAUUUUCCACUGGUUUGCAAGCCAUUUAAUGGCUGAUGCUAAACUCUGCCUGUCUUCUUACAAUUGAUGUAGCUUUGCAAUACAGUGAAACACCUUAUUUACGUUACCGUUAUUUACAUUUUCCCGUUAUUUGCACUAUAUUCUUCAGGUCCCAUUUGGUUCCCAUUUAAUCCAAUACAAUACUUUCACGCGAAUUACGUCUCAAAAAUCGAAUCCAUCCCGCUAUUUACGUCACGUAAAAACGAUAGUAGGCCUAAAAACAUUGUGAAAAACGUAACUUUUAUAGUCGGCAGUGAACAUUUUAAAUCGCAAAAUAAACAUAUUUUAUAACAUGAAAAGUUGCUUUUAUUUCUAAACAUAUAAUAAUUUAAGCCUAGGCGUGUAAAAGUCCGAGUAAUUAUAGCAGGAGACAAUCUAAAAUGUACUCGGUAAAAACAUAAACUCACGAAUGUAUAAACUUUCUGUUACUAUAUUUAUGUCACAACUUAGCUGAAAUACUGGUACGAGACAUAAACUUCACUAGAUAAAAUGAGCGGAGUCUUGGUAACUGUUUUAAACGUAUUUUAUAAUUUCAGAAGUAUUGUACAGUUGACGCAUAUUUUUUAAACUAACCAUUUAUAUCUGGGGAUCGUAAAUAAUUAAUUAUUGGUAUCAAGACAUCAAGGUGAACGUAAACUUGAACACGUCACGGCAGCGAGAAAACUGGUGCGUAUACCAAUAAACUGGUAUUAGAACUGGACAAAACUGGUACACGGGAGGUGGAGCUUAUAUUUUUUUCCGCUAAGCUCGCAUCUAUUGGCUGGCUGCUGAUGGAACGUCACGAGUCUGGGCGGAGCGUUGAGUGAGUUAUACUGCGCAUGCGCAGCUCAGACAACAGAGAGAGCCAGCCGGCAGCUACGCCGCGCCAUAACAGCUGAUUGAGUACGAUGACCUUUCUACGCGCACGGUGCGCUAUUGACGGUCAAUUUCCAAUUUGCUGCCUUUUUUUUUUUAAUUUUUUUACUGUGGUGCAAUGCGUAUGUGUAAUGUAGCCCGCAUUUGUUAUGAACGCUGCAGGAUGCGACUGUAUUUUAAUUAACUUUAACGUAUUUCUUACUUUUCCCUUUAUUUACACUUUCCCGCUUUUUACACUUUUUUACGUUGUCCCCAUGAAAAGAGCAAAUAAGGGGUUUUGCUGUAUAUAGUAAAAGGUGCACUUGUAUGCCAACUACCCUUAGCGGACCAACUCUGCCGAAAAACAUUAGACGGCAGACCAAAAGAAUAAGAUAUUCUUACUGUAACUGACAAUAGUAAUUUAAAUGGGGUGCAAAUAAAUAUUCUAUAGGGAACAUAACUGUGCACCAAUAUAAAACAUAGAAACACUCAUACUUCAAACUGAAUGUAUUAACAAUACAACUUUAACAUAAGGUACUUGUGAACUGUAGAUACUCUUCAUGCGAAUCUAUGUAGUAUCCACCAAUUAUCUGCAUGGAAACCUCUUUCACUUUACAGAAGGCCACACACAGCACUAGUCUGUGAAAAACAUAGAUAACUACAUGUUCACACACACUGGUCAAUAUUGCUGUAUAUGAUUAAAAACACUAAUUAAUUUCCAGAUAAUGGGUUCACUUAGUGGGCUUUAAUACUACAUUUAUUUCUGGGGUAAUAUUAUUUAUAUUUUUUUCCCCCCAGUUAAAUCGGGAAUCUAUAAGAAGUACUGUAAGCUUUUUGCAAAAGCUGUACUAAACAAUUAAGGGAUGAAUAAUAUUCUCAUUUUAUCUCUCAAAAUAAUAUUUUAAAAUUUAGUAGUGACUAAAUCUUUGGUAUUUGAAAAGACACACAAACUUUAGCCCUUGAGCAAAACACUCAUAAAACUGUGCACAAAGUAACACAAAUAUCAGGUAUACAUACACUUUUAAAUUUUACAUAACUCUCUCAUAAACUCAAUAUUACAAGAUUCAGCACAAAUUCACACACACAAAAAAAAAAAACUAUUUAUGCAUUGUCUGCAGCUAGUUAGGGUGGGCAUUUAGGUACAAUUAGCAAUGGUUUUUAGUUGUAUCACCACAAUACAUCAAUGGCAAAAUUGUAUUAUUUUCUUUCAAUAUGAAUGUUAAUUUUCUUUACUCUGUUCACUCUAGUCAGUAAGAGCAAGAGAAACUAGGCGUUGCUGAGUGACUUACCUAAUAAAAGCCAUAAAUGUUUCUUAAAAUGCUACACACUUACAGCAAGAAUACAAAAGCCAUCAAUGAAUCAGACAAACAAAAGUCCCAGCAGGAGUACUUAAAAAUAGGCCUGUGUAAAUAUUCAAACAGUUUAUUGUUCGUAUUCGAUUUGAUUUUGAAUCACGUCAAAAAACAAAAAACAAAUAUACAGUCGUUUACUAAUACGGCUGUACGAGAUCUUUGAAGUCUGGAAAAAUAUUGGGAUCACAGAAGAUUUUCUUGAGGGGCAGGAUAAGGAUAAAUACAUGUCCAUAAAAAUAAAAACCCUGCACUGGUGUUAAAGUUGACAGUUUUCAGAUCAUAGGGUACCAACAUGGCAUUCCAGCCCUGCGAUCAGUUCCCCCCCCCCAGAAUGGAGCAGUGAGGGGAAAAAACUUGUAUAGAUAUCGUGGAAAACAUUUGGUCGGAUACUCACAGCAAAGACUCCUAAAGCCUAACAACCUACGACAAGAUUUAUCUGGCCAUUUUCAUGGAAGUUUUGGUACCUUCACACUACAACACAGGUUAUACAAAAAAAAUAGUGAGAAUGUGUGUAAUCAGGGGCGCAACAACACAAGGGGGGGGGAAGGGUAUUUUGCCCCCCCUCUGAAACCUUGAAAUGGGGGCAAAGAAAGUGCUGUGUAAUCAAUUUUUAGAUAAUAAAACUGCUUAAAUAGCACCAUUUUCCACCUUGAAACACAAAUUUUCCCGGGGGAGGACCCCUGGACCCCCCGCUUCAAUAAGGGGGAUCGACGAUUCUUUAUAAAAAGUUAUAUUGCCCCCCCCCCCCCCCCCCCCCCUUUUUGGAAAUUUAGUUGUUGCGCCCCUGUGUGUAAUCAUAUGAAAAAAAAAAAUUCUGUAACCCUAAAUAAUUGUAAUAUGUAUAUUUAUUUGUACUUUGUACUAUACACUUAAAUUCUUUCAAGAGUAUUUACACAAUUAAAGUCUUUAGCUUUGGUUUUCAAUGCCGGUGCUAACAAUAAAAACACGACUAUACAAGAGUCUGGUGAAGUGAAUGUGCGGAAGCGAGGGGGGCUCAGAGCACGCCCGGCUGCUCGGGGAUCAGCGACGCGAAGAAGCUGCUGAAGAAGGUCCAGGCGAGGGCGAGCAGGGACGGCCGCUCAGGCUGCUGGGGAGCGCCCGACGCGGAGUCGCUGUCGGAGCCGCUGGCCGCGUCCUCGUCCGGCGCCGGCGCCGGCACGUUGUUGUUGUCGGCCGCGCGCCGUGCCGCCUGCACCUGCAGGAACCCCCGGUGGUAC
This is a long non-coding RNA of Bacillus rossius redtenbacheri, 4154 nucleotides long. RefSeq lists it as uncharacterized. Lineage: Eukaryota; Metazoa; Arthropoda; Insecta; Phasmatodea; Bacillidae. The record is from RefSeq and is a predicted model, not a curated record. The transcript has 2 exons.